CUCUUUAGCUUGGCAUUUGAAUCGGCUUUGCUGUUGCGAAGUAGAGUGGCGGCUUCGGCUGCCGAGGGUCGAUCCAUUUGGGAAAUGUUGUGUACUUCGGUAUGCAUCUCAAUUGGACCUGAUAUCAGGCAAGAUUACCCGCUGAACUUAAGCAUAUUAAUAAGCGGAGGAAAAGAAACUAACAAGGAUUCCCCUAGUAACGGCGAGUGAAGCGGGAAGAGCUCAAGCUUAAAAUCUCCGUGCAAGUUUUGCGCGGCGAAUUGUAGUCUAUAGAGGCGUGAUCAGUGUGGGCGCUUGGGGCAAGUUCCUUGGAAGAGGACAGCAUGGAGGGUGAUACUCCCGUUCAUCCCUGAGUUGCUCGUGCGUACGAUCCGUUUUCUUUGAGUCGCGUUGUUUGGGAAUGCAGCGCAAAGUAGGUGGUAAAUUCCAUCUAAAGCUAAAUAUUGGUGCGAGACCGAUAGCGAACAAGUACCGUGAGGGAAAGAUGAAAAGAACUUUGAAAAGAGAGUUAAAGAGUACCUGAAACUGCUGAAAGGGAACCGAAUCGUUUCCAGUGUCUAUAAUCCGUGGUAUAUUUCAUUGGCGAGUGUGUGCGUGCGUGUGCUGUGGCAGCGGCUUUUUUGGCUGCGCUCGGCGUGUGUGCUGUGUGUGCUUGCUGGUGCCCUGUGCUGCGGUGGGACGUCAAGGUCAGUUCGUAUGCUGCGGGAAAUGGCCGCCGAGGAGGUAGGGCUUACGCUUGCGUUUGUCUGUUAUAUCUUGGUGGACGAGUAGUCGCGGUUGGGACUGAGGUGCCUACAACGUGUUUUUGAGUGGGCCUGUGUCUCUGUGUGCGCCGUGUGCGGAUAGCUUGCUAUGCGUGUGUGGUUGUGUGUGGAUUGAUGUGGGUUUUAACUUGUUGCCGUUCGGGACGUUGACGAAAUGGAGCGAUUUGACCCGUCUUGAAACACGAACCAAGGAGUCUAACAUGUGUGCAAGUGUUAGGGUGUGGAAACCCCAGCGCGAAAUGAAAGUGAAGGGCAGCGUAAGUUGUCUGAGGUAGGAAAUGCUGCGGGCUUCGGUCUGCGGUGUGGCACUAUCGACCGAUCAUGAACCUUCGUGGUGAAAGAUUUGAGUUUGAGCACAUAUGUUGGUACCCGAAAGAUGGUGAACUAUGCCUGAGUAGGGUGAAGCCAGGGGAAACUCUGGUGGAAGCUCGUAGCGAUUCUGACGUGCAAAUCGAUCGUCAAACUUGGGUAUAGGGGCGAAAGACUAAUCGAACCAUCUAGUAGCUGGUUCCCUCCGAAAUUUCCCUCAGGAUAGCAGCAACUUAUUUACGAUAGUUUUAUGAGGUAAAGCGAAUGAUUAGAGGAUUCGGGGAAGAAACUUCCUCGACCUAUUCUCAAACUUUAAAUCUGUAAGACCUGCAGGUUUCUUAAUUGAACUUGUGGAUGUGAAUAUCAAGUUGCUAGUGGGCCAUACGGGGUAAGCUCGUCUGGCGAUGCGGGAUGAACCGAACGCAAAGUUAAAGUGCCAAAAUGCUCGCUCACCUAGAUACCAUAAAAGGUGUUGGUUCAUUUAGACAGCAGGACGGUGGCCAUGGAAGUCGGAAUCCGCUAAGGAGUGUGUAACAACUCACCUGCCGAAUGAACUAGCCCUGAAAAUGGAUGGCGCUAAAGCGGGCUACUUAUACUUUGCCGUUAGCGCGAUAGCAUUUAUAAUGUACGCGUUAAUGAGUAGGAGGGCGUGAAGGUCGUGAAGAAGCUCGUGGCGUGAGCCUGAGUGAAACGGCCUUUAGUGCAGAUCUUGGUGGUAGUAGCAAAUAUUCAAAUGCGAACUUUGAAGACUGAAGUGGAGAAAGGUUCCGUGUGAUCAGUAAUUGGACACGGCUGAGUCGAUCCUAAGAGAUAGGAUAAUUCCGUUUGAAAGCUGGGCUGUUUGAGGCGUGGGGUUCGUCCUUGCGUUUUGUAUGCAGC
RNAcentral lists this ribosomal RNA (1952 nucleotides) under Phytophthora infestans T30-4. RNAcentral describes it as "28S ribosomal RNA". It matches the Rfam family "Eukaryotic large subunit ribosomal RNA", at positions 1 to 1589 of the family's 3401-position model. Lineage: Eukaryota; Oomycota; Peronosporomycetes; Peronosporales; Peronosporaceae. The record is from RNAcentral.